GGCUCCACCUCUUUCCAUUCCGAACAGAGAAGUUAAGCCCGGUUACGCCGAUGGUACUGCAAAACAUGUGGAAGAGUAGGUAGCUGCCAAUU
RNAcentral lists this ribosomal RNA (92 nucleotides) under Tannerellaceae bacterium. The record is from RNAcentral. Lineage: Bacteria; Pseudomonadati; Bacteroidota; Bacteroidia; Bacteroidales; Tannerellaceae.